GUAGGGUGCAAGCGUUAAUCGGAAUUACUGGGCGUAAAGCGUGCGCAGGCGGUUAUGCAAGACAGAGGUGAAAUCCCCGGGCUCAACCUGGGAACUGCCUUUGUGACUGCAUGGCUAGAGUACGGUAAAGGGGGAUGGAAUUCCGCGUGUAGCAGUGAAAUGCGUAGAUAUGCGGAGGAACACCGAUGGCGAAGGCAAUCCCCUGGACCUGUACUGACGCUCAUGCACGAAAGCGUGGGGAGCAAACAGGAUUAGAUACCCUGGUAGUCCACGCCCUAAACGAUGUCAACUGGUUGUUGGGAGGGUUUCUUCUCAGUAACGUAGCUAACGCGUGAAGUUGACCGCCUGGGGAGUACGGCCGCAAGGUUG
RNAcentral lists this ribosomal RNA (369 nucleotides) under uncultured bacterium. RNAcentral's name for it is "bacterial SSU rRNA". It matches the Rfam family "Bacterial small subunit ribosomal RNA", at positions 527 to 896 of the family's 1533-position model. The record is from RNAcentral.